AGCAAGCCAGCUCUGUUCUUUUAGAAAAGCUUGAUGUUUAUUUUCUUAAUUAUUAUUUCUUGAGUAAAUUUUUUUCCUUCUGCGGUUCCGCCAACGUUUUUUGGAGCAAAAAAUAUGGAGGCUAAUAUUAAAAUAAAAUAAACAUUACUCAAUCAUCAUCUUGGCACUAACCAUGUUCGUUGUUUUGAACACCUUGCAUUGUUGGCCAGAGGAAUAGAAGAUAAAAAUAAAGCAAUCCGGGUUCAAAACCCGGAAUCCAGAAAUCCGGACCGGACCCGGAUUAAAAAAAACGGGUGUAAUGUGGGUCCGGUUAUGAGAAUUUUGUGUCCGGGUCCGGAUCCGGAACAGCCAAACCCGGACCCGGACCCAGAAAUUGCCAUCGCUAGUUGGAACGAGCCACAUGGUUGUCCAAUCACCCCUAUGCCAGACACGAAAGAAAUGAGGUUCUGCCGAAAUGACAAAAUGAGAGCUCUUCAGAAGCUAAGCUUGUCUUUUCGAGUGUAGGGGACUCUAGAAGAUGAGAAGGUUGUUGAAUGAGUGUUUCACAUGAAGUGAAAGUAGAUCAAGUGAAUGAGGUUUUUGGCAUAGAGUGAAAGUGAAUCUAUUGUAAAAUAUACCGUAAUACACUUUUUG
Molecule: long non-coding RNA, 633 nt
Filed under: Citrus sinensis (sweet orange)
Lineage: Eukaryota; Viridiplantae; Streptophyta; Magnoliopsida; Sapindales; Rutaceae
Description: long non-coding RNA (CSIN_LNC000186)
Source: RNAcentral